Molecule: ribosomal RNA, 446 nt
Filed under: uncultured bacterium
Lineage: Bacteria
Description: bacterial SSU rRNA
Rfam family: Bacterial small subunit ribosomal RNA
Source: RNAcentral
CACCAGACUCCUACGGGAGGCAGCAGUGGGGGAUAUUGCACAAUGGGGGGAACCCUGAUGCAGCGACGCCGCGUGGGUGAAGAAGCGCCUCGGCGCGUAAAGCCCUGUCAGCAGGGAAGAAAAUGACGGUACCUGAAGAAGAAGCCCCGGCUAACUACGUGCCAGCAGCCGCGGUAAUACGUAGGGGGCAAGCGUUAUCCGGAUUUACUGGGUGUAAAGGGGGCGCAGACGGCGAUGCAAGCCAGGAGUGAAAGCCCGGGGCCCAACCCCGGGACUGCAUUUGGAACUGUGUGGCUGGAGUGUCGGAGAGGCAGGCGGAAUUCCUAGUGUAGCGGUGAAAUGCGUAGAUAUUAGGAGGAACACCAGUGGCGAAGGCGGCCUGCUGGACGAUGACUGACGUUGAGGCUCGAAAGCGUGGGGAGCAAACAGGAUUAGAUACCCGUGUA